RNAcentral lists this ribosomal RNA (486 nucleotides) under Fusarium oxysporum. Its description in RNAcentral is "eukaryotic LSU rRNA". The stretch from base 135 to 288 matches the Rfam family "5.8S ribosomal RNA". The record is from RNAcentral. Lineage: Eukaryota; Fungi; Ascomycota; Sordariomycetes; Hypocreales; Nectriaceae.
CCCAAACCCCUGUGAACAUACCACUUGUUGCCUCGGCGGAUCAGCCCGCUCCCGGUAAAACGGGACGGCCCGCCAGAGGACCCCUAAACUCUGUUUCUAUAUGUAACUUCUGAGUAAAACCAUAAAUAAAUCAAAACUUUCAACAACGGAUCUCUUGGUUCUGGCAUCGAUGAAGAACGCAGCAAAAUGCGAUAAGUAAUGUGAAUUGCAGAAUUCAGUGAAUCAUCGAAUCUUUGAACGCACAUUGCGCCCGCCAGUAUUCUGGCGGGCAUGCCUGUUCGAGCGUCAUUUCAACCCUCAAGCACAGCUUGGUGUUGGGACUCGCGUUAAUUCGCGUUCCUCAAAUUGAUUGGCGGUCACGUCGAGCUUCCAUAGCGUAGUAGUAAAACCCUCGUUACUGGUAAUCGUCGCGGCCACGCCGUUAAACCCCAACUUCUGAAUGUUGACCUCGGAUCAGGUAGGAAUACCCGCUGAACUUAAGCAUAU